RNAcentral lists this small nuclear RNA (105 nucleotides) under Octodon degus (degu). Lineage: Eukaryota; Metazoa; Chordata; Mammalia; Rodentia; Octodontidae. The record is from RNAcentral.
UUGCUUGCUUCAGCAGCACAUAUACUAAAAUUGGAUUGAUACAGAAAAGAUUAGCAUGGCCUCUGCACAAGGAUGACAUAAAUUCGUGAAGCGUUCCAUAUUUAA